RNAcentral lists this transfer RNA (69 nucleotides) under Rhabdoblatta nigrovittata. RNAcentral describes it as "tRNA-Val". Lineage: Eukaryota; Metazoa; Arthropoda; Insecta; Blattodea; Blaberidae. The record is from RNAcentral.
CAAGUUACCUUAUAAGAUAAGAAUUUUAUUUACACUAAAAUUUAUGUCGUGCAAUUCGAUAUAACUUGA